Long non-coding RNA from Bombus terrestris (buff-tailed bumblebee), 1461 nucleotides. RefSeq lists it as uncharacterized. The record is from RefSeq and is a predicted model, not a curated record. Lineage: Eukaryota; Metazoa; Arthropoda; Insecta; Hymenoptera; Apidae. The transcript is spliced from 2 exons.
AUAAUAUUAUAAUGUGGGCAACUGGGAAAGUCACGAGCACAGUUUCGAAUCCUUUCCGUGCGCUCUUGUGAUCCUCGAUAAUACUUUCGAAAAAUACGAAGGCGAAUUAGCGGGUGAAAUCACGCCGCUUAGAGAUCAACUACGGAGUAGCACUUAGAAAUUCAUAAAAAUAGAAUACUGGAAAUUAAAUCGAGAAACAGGCAGAGUCCUUUAGCAAUGACUCUCUUGCAUGCAUUGAAAUUACUUUUUCUUAAUGUUUGUUACAAUAUUAUUAAUUAACAUUAUUUUUCUAGCCACGUUUGGAGGAAAACCAUGGAACAGAAUUUUCUUCGAUAUUUUUCGUUGUCUUACCACACCGAACGUAUUAAUCAACUUAAGAUUUAAUCUAAAUUAAAACAUUUCUCUGGCAGGCUAUCUUAGUAGUAUCUGCUAUUACACAAAUCUAGAGAACAGCUUCCGGACAUUUACGGAUAGCAACGCAGAGCUGAUAUUUAAUACCACGAAAUUAUUUCACAAAUCAACGUUACAUCUCCUUCGACGUAACAUGCUCACUGUGCCUCAGCAGGAUACCGUUCUACGACAUAUUUCACGAAGGAUUCCUUUGAUCAAUAGUUACCUAGCCAUUCCGAUCUGCGGCUUACUCUCGCAAUUUCGCAGCUCGCGGAAGAUUUACGUUCGCCGCAACUGACAAUGCGAAUCCCCUUUAAUAACCGUGUCCGUCUUUAUUGCUGCUCGGUUUGCACCAUUUGUAUCGUUGACUUGAGCCCGCCUACUUUACAAUCCGUCGUAGAUUCGUAUUAUUAGAUAAUGCGACAGCUAUACGAUGGAGUUUGCCCAUUCGUGCAGUUCGCGUUACCGCACGUGCGGCAGUUGACUUCAACAAACAUAGCUGUUAGGCGACUAACGAGAGCGAAUUGUAGAGAUUAAUCGUGUUAGGCCACUGUUCCUGUAAACGCGUGUGUUUUAACGGUAAUCGUCUUUCGCAAAUUGUAUAUGUUAAUCCUGCUGCGGUUCUCAAAUGUUUAGAUUUCGAUAUUCGAUUUAGAAAAUAAUAUCUAAUGUUUUAAGAAGAUGUUUAACACGACACUGAUACGAAAGAUCAUGGAUACCAAUAACAAUUUUCUGAUAUUUUGUUCAAAUUUGGAUAAUCUACAGAAACCUCCGUGGCUGCAAUUCACGAACGCUUGUUCCAAACUCUACCAACAUAAUCAUGACAAUCUGAUUUCAUUAGUGCUAAUGAAAUCUCAAAACGUUCUAUACGUGCAACUAGUGAUUGUAUCGAUACCGAUAUGUUUGCAUAGCACACGUGACAUUAUAAUACAUAAUAAUACGUAAUAAUAUACAAUAGUACAUACUUCAUAGAAGCUUUCUGUAAAUGUACAAAUGUCUUCACGAGUCACUGUAGAUACCACGAAUCUCAGUAUCGAGAUCAGUAUCGCUAUCGAUAAAGAGUGAAACUUA